GGCAACCCGCCCCCGUCCCUUUCAACACUGUGGAAGCUUUGUUUUUUCACUCUUUGCAAUAUAUCUUGCUGCUGCUCACUCUUUGGGUCUACACUGCUUUUAUGAGCUAUAACACUCACUGUGAAGGUCUGCAGCUUCACUCCUGAGCCAGCGAGACCAUGAUCCCAGCAGAAGGAAGAAACUCCGAACACAUCCGAACAUCAGAAGGAACAAACUCCACACGUGCCACCUUAAGAGCUGCAACACUCACUGCGAGGGUCUGCAGCUUCAUUCUUGAAGUCAGUGAGACCAAGAACCCACCAAUUCUGGACACACUGGGAUUACAGGUGCAUGCCGCCACGUCCAGCUAAUUUUUGUAUUUUUAGUAGAGACAGGGUUUCAACACGUUGGCCAGGCUGGUUUUGAACUCCUGACCUCAGGUGAUCCACCCGCCUUGGCCUCCCAAAGUGUUGGGAUUACAGAUAUCAGACACUGCCUGGCCGGUUAUGUCUUUCUUGAUUCUAAUCAGUAUGUACAUAAUUUUGCAUAGAUAUAUUGAUUAGGGAGGCAUUUAUGAAGGGCAGGUAGUGGAGAGGCUGGGGUAAGGUUAGGUAAUAGGAGUUCUAGGGGAUUCCAUACUUUGGCCUAUAAUGGAAUUGUAGCCUACCCAGCACUUUAAACAUUCCCGAUUGACUCCAAUAUUUGUUCUUCUAGCCACUCCUUCCCCUCUCAGCCAAUGUACUUAGGGAGAAGCUGAUCCCAUGCUAAGUUCCAGGAAUGGGCUUUAUUUUCCAGGAAUGAAUCCAUACCCUUUCCAGUAAAGGGCUCUGGAAUCCAGGUCUAAGUGCCAUGUGAUUGGUUUAGGAAUGGACCAAUGAGACACUGUGAGGAAGUUUCCUGAGGGCUUCUGGGAAUUUUCUCAUAAUAGAAAGCUACCAGAAUUCACAGGCCCUUUUCAUCUUGACUUCUUGUCCAUAGACCUGAGGCCAGGGGCUGUGGCAGGCAUUUUGUAGGCAGCCUAAGGGUGAAACAUGCACAAGAGAGAACAAGACAACACCACAGAGAAGCAGAGCUCAGUAAUGGCUGAGCCCUGCCUCACCUCCACCAUUCCUAGACCUUCUCAGUCUCUUAGCCAAUGAACAGCCUUGAUUUUAAAGCAAUUUUUAUUUGAGUUUUUGCUUCUGGAAGCCAAAACAAACAUUUUAGCCUAUGGAAUCCCAAUUUAUACUUAACGUUUUUAUUUGUUAAUCUUUAAGUUUCAGAAUUCUUUUCUGAUUAUAAAAAUAAUACAUACUUAUUGUAGAGAACCAAGAAAACAUUGAAAGAUAUAAAGAAGAACAUUAAGACCAUCCAUAAUCUCACUAUCCCUAGAUAACUGCUAUUGAGUUUUGAGUUAGUUUCCUCUUUAUGUAUCCAAACUUACACAGAAAUUUUACACAUAUAUUUAUCCUGCUUUAAUGAAAUUCACAGCCUAGUGGGAAAUAGAAACAGACAAACAAAAACCGAACAAAUAGAUGAAUAUCUGCGACUAUGGAACGUCAUAGUAACUACUAACCUUGUGUUCACUGUUUUUGGGUAAAUGUUGCUAAUAAUGUUAUACCCCAUCUCCACAACCCAGAACAAAUCAAAGAUUUAUGUUAAUAACUAUUAAAAUAUAAUAUGCUCUAAAGUA
Non-coding RNA from Homo sapiens (human), 1651 nucleotides. Lineage: Eukaryota; Metazoa; Chordata; Mammalia; Primates; Hominidae. The record is from RefSeq and is a predicted model, not a curated record.